UGGCCCUACGGGACGCAGCAGUGAGGAAUAUUGGUCAAUGGACGAGAGUCUGAACCAGCCAAGUAGCGUGAAGGAUGACUGCCCUAUGGGUUGUAAACUUCUUUUAUAUGGGAAUAAAGUGAGCCACGUGUGGCUUUUUGUAUGUACCAUACGAAUAAGGAUCGGCUAACUCCGUGCCAGCAGCCGCCGUAAUACGGAGGAUCCGAGCGUUAUCCGGAUUUAUUGGGUUUAAAGGGUGCGCAGGCGGACCAUCAAGUCAGCGGUAAAAUCGUGGGGCCCAACCCCAUCCCGCCGUUGAAACUGGC
Molecule: ribosomal RNA, 305 nt
Filed under: uncultured bacterium
Lineage: Bacteria
Description: bacterial SSU rRNA
Rfam family: Bacterial small subunit ribosomal RNA
Source: RNAcentral